UACGUAGGGGGCGAGCGUUGUCCGGAUUUAUUGGGCGUAAAGAGCUCGUAGGCGGCUUGGCAAGUCGGAUGUGAAACCCCCAGGCUUAACCUGGGGACGCCACUCGAAACUGCCAUGGCUAGAGUCCGGUAGGGGAUCACGGAAUUCCUGGUGUAGCGGUGAAAUGCGCAGAUAUCAGGAGGAACACCAGUGGCGAAGGCGGUGAUCUGGGCCGGAACUGACGCUGAGGAGCGAAAGCGUGGGGAGCGAACAGG
RNAcentral lists this ribosomal RNA (254 nucleotides) under uncultured bacterium. Its description in RNAcentral is "partial 16S ribosomal RNA". It matches the Rfam family "Bacterial small subunit ribosomal RNA", at positions 524 to 776 of the family's 1533-position model. The record is from RNAcentral.